GAUGAAGAACGCAGCGAAAUGCGAUAAGUAAUGUGAAUUGCAGAAUUCAGUGAAUCAUCGAAUCUUUGAACGCACAUUGCGCCCGCUAGUAUUCUGGCGGGCAUGCCUGUUCGAGCGUCAUUUCAACCAUCAAGCCCUGUUUAGGCUUGUGUUGGGGCCCUGCGGUUGCCGCAGCCCCCUAAAUGCAGUGGCGGGCUCGUUGUCACUCCGAGCGCAGUAGCGUAUCUCGCUCUGGGCGUGGCGGCGGGUGCUAGCCGUGAAACACCCACCAAGGUUGACCUCGGAUCAGGUAGGAAUACCCGCUGAACUUAAGCAUAUCAAUAAGCGGAGGA
This 332-nucleotide unclassified non-coding RNA is filed under the name soil metagenome. RNAcentral describes it as "partial contains 5.8S ribosomal RNA, internal transcribed spacer 2, and large subunit ribosomal RNA". The stretch from base 1 to 120 matches the Rfam family "5.8S ribosomal RNA", at positions 35 to 154 of the family's 154-position model. The record is from RNAcentral.